Molecule: long non-coding RNA, 2248 nt
Organism: Salvia miltiorrhiza (redroot sage)
Lineage: Eukaryota; Viridiplantae; Streptophyta; Magnoliopsida; Lamiales; Lamiaceae
Exons: 2
Source: RefSeq, a predicted model, not a curated record
CCACUAUAAAUAUAUUCCACUAUUAAUAAUAGAACAAUUAAAUAAAUACAGCCCAAUUAAAUAAGUACAAUAAAUUCAGCCCAAUUAAAUAAAUACAACCCAACAAAUUAAAAUAAAAUAAAAUAAAUUAAAUACAGCCCAUCUACACUUUUAAACCCUAAAAUACUGCUCAAAUACUCAUCUUCUCUCAUUGGUUCAGCGCCGCCUCUUCUCUUCUCUCUCGUUAGGCGUUUCUUCUCCCAGUCCAAACUCUCCUCUUUCUUCCACAUGCGCCGCUGCCGGCGAGAAGCCACGGUCGCUGAUGCUCUCCAUCCUCUUCUCUCUCCCUCUGCCUCAUCCUCUGCCGGCGAAAAACCUGCAACCAUAUCACUACAAAGCCGCCGUCCAAAAGCCCUACAUCCCUAAACCACCAACUCCGCCCUCACAUCUAGGCACUGACGCUGCUCCACGCCGCUGCCUCCGUCUGCACAGAUACGCCGCCGCCGUCGUCCAAGCCCUAGCCUCCAGAUCUCGGCCUACUUCUCCAUAUUAAAUUUUGAAUUUUUUUGCUUGCAGAUUCGUUUUUUUUAACACAGAGUAAGAUCUAAUUUUUUUUUCGUUUAUUAGUUUUUCGUUUUUUAAUUUUUAAUUUUUUAAUUUUCUCCAUGUUUAAUUUUUCUUGCUGAAGUAUCGUUUUUGUUCAUUUAAACAAUAGCAACAAAUUUUCGUCUGCAUAUGCUCCAAUGUUUUUGUUCAUUUUGUUCUUUAAAAACCCAAGGCACAAAUUUUAUUUGAGAACGAAUUUAGGUAUUUUUUGAUGAUAUUGCUUCACUUUUCUUUUUUUUUCCUAUACAGACAUCUUUAUUUUUUUUUUCGCAUUAUUAGUUUAUUGUUUUUCAGAUUUUCAUUUUCGUAGAUCUCUGAAUAUCUACACAUGAAACUGUUACUUGUCGUUUUUUAGAUCUCUGUAGAUCUAUUUGCUCUUGCUUUUCGUGUUUCAUAGAAAAUGCAGGAAUUUUGUUUACUUUGCUGUUUCAAAAAAAAAUCAAAGAGGCAGCACAUAUGAAGAACUAAAAAUCAUUACUUGUUGCUAACACAAAUCCAUUUGAAAUAUUUGCUGCCUCUUUGAAAUUAUUUUUGAUCAAGAAUAAGAACAAAAAAAUCAUUCUUUUUUGCUACCUCCGAAAUCUGCCUUUGUUUGACUGAGUAAGUUACUUAAACCUUAUUUAGCAUAUAUCAUGCAAACUCUUCGAAAUUUCAUAUUCAGAUAACCUGUUGUUUCUUUUGCAUGUUUAUUCAUAUUUCAAACGUGUUUUGCACUUUCGUCAUUAUCAUAAACCUGUUUGUUGUAUAUGGGAUUAUAGUAAUGUUUUGCUCUAUUUUUGUUUAGAAGUGCAGAAAAUAGGGGGGGUUUUGCUCUAUUUUUGUUUAGAAGUGCAGAAAAUAGGGGGGGAAAAAUCUAAAGAUGUAAAACUGAAAUAAACACAUAAAAUAGGAAGAAAAGAUAGUUGAAGAUAUAAAAAAAAUAAAGAAAGAAAGAAUCUAAAGUUGUAGUUAAUCAGAAAUAAACACAUAAAAUAGGAUGGAAAAUUAAACUGAAGAUAUAAGAAAGAAAAGAACGAAUAUGUAGAAUAGAAAGAAACAUAUAAAAUAGAAACAAAAAAGCUAAAAUAUAAAAAAGAAAGAAAAUAAAGAAAAUGAUGUAAGAAGUUGUGAGAAAGAAGCUUAGAGUAGAAAUGAAAAGUUUAGGUAGAAAUAAAAAAAAUAUAAAAAUUGGAAGCAAGAAGCUUAGAGAAAAGAGCAAGAAUAUGCCAAUAUUACAGAUAGAAAAAGAAGCUGCUGCUCAUUAAAAUGUAGAAAAGAAGGUGCAAGAAGCUGACAAAGAAAAAAGAGGAAAGAAAGAGAAGCAAGAACAGAAAGAUAAGAAAGAGAAGCAAAAUAGAAAGAGUGCUGACAUUGAAGCAAGAAAGUGCCGAAAGAAAAAUGGAAAAAGAAAGAGAAGCAAGAAAGCAAAGUGAAGCAAGAUAGUGCCGAAAGAAAAGUGGCCGGUGAGGGAGAAAAGAAGAUGCAGAAGAAAUAUGGCUGGUGAGGGAUAUAUAAAGAAUGUAUCUUGGUGGCUAAGUUUUAUAUUAAUGAGCUCUGCAUUAAUUGUUGUCUUUGAGCCCCACAAUAAUUAUAUGUAUAGUAUUAGAUAUGUCAGCAAUUGUACAAAAAGAUAUGUUGAAUAGUUGUUGAACAGUAAAAAUAUUUAUUGAGUCAUUUAUUGCAA